GUGAAAGGAGACACUUGAGGACACGUUAGUCCCAGUGUCCCCCUAAAGGCCUUGAGCCCCGAAGCACUGAUCAAUGUGCAGGAUCAUGGCGGAUGACUGAUGACUCCUGGUGGAGUCACAGGAGAAGACACCAGGACACAUCGCGCUCUAGAAAACUUUAAUAUGUGUCUCUUCUGUUUUAGAAUAACGAUGAGCUAAUUCAGGAAGCCUGAAGUCUCAUCUGUUAAUCUACACCUCACAGCCUUUUCCAUCCUUCUCAUCUUCACGUCUCACUCUGACACGAGUUGUUGCUGCCUCGAAAAUUCGAGUUUUGCAUGUGAAGCUUCGUUGUAAUGUCGAAGGCAAACUAAGAAGUCAGCCUCAAACGUGCAGCAGGUCCGUCUUUUCUGUUUGUGGGUUUUUAACUGUCGGGGUGCACAGCGCGUCACACAAAUGCCCGUGGGAACAUCCGGCGAUGCAGAGAUGUCGGUCAGUAAAAGCUGUGGCUGCAGAACGGACCACUUCCCGUCUCUGAAGGGACGCGGCAGCCGCACGCCGCCUCGAGGAGGCAGGAAGUGACCCUUUCUGUUCUCUCCGUCCGGCAGGUCAAAGACGCGUUUGGGGUGAACGAUGUGGCAAACGGGGUCCACGCACGACAACGCGCGACAACUUCUCACACAAUCGAAUGCAGCUGAUGCGAAAAUAAGAACUAAGUUGCGCGUUUACAUAUUUAUAAGGUGAUCAGUUGUUUUUAACGUGACUCUUCAGUAACAGACGUAUUUUAACAUACUCUUAAUUUGUUUGUUUGCUUGUCCUGUUGUAAAGGUCUAAGAGGCUUCAUGUGUGCUCUUUAUCAGAAUGAGAAGGUAAGCACGCCACAGAAUACCUGUGUUAGGGAUCCAUCAAAUGUAGGAACCACAUUAAUUUAAAACUGGUGGAAGAGGUUAUGCUUGUUUUUGGAGAUGUGAUGUUCAGGGAGAUGAUCGGGGUUGAACUAACAAAUGAGGAGGUUGUAAAGCGGAGCUUUGCUGAACAGGUCCUUACACGUUCAACACUGCACAGCGUUUCCUUAAAUGACCUCUGCAUGAAAAAGCCUCUCUGGAAAUAGUCACUCGGCGCCGAAGGCUGUUGAAUGUGGUUUACUGGUUUACUGCGGUAAUUAGAAACUGCUCAGUUAGUUGUGGUUGGCAAAACAAAACAAGUUUAAACAGUUUUUUUUAAAGCCUCCGUUGCAGUUUUUCUGAACCAGGAGCUCGGUGCUUCGGGGCCUUGAAGGUCUUUUUCUCCAGAUCUUCAGACUUCUGCCGCCAGGCCUCAUUGUUGGCGGUGCGUUCGGCACGUUUAAUAACCGUGUGUACUGUGGACUCGGUGAGCCUCAGAGACAGACCCCUCGGGUUCGGGUCUGAGAGCUUUGCUUCGUACUCACAAACCAUCCGAUCGAAGUGCGGCUUCUUCUCCUCCAGAAGUGUCACAGUUCAGCUCGACACCCUCCUCACAGUCCAACUGCCCGUCCCUGUUUAACCCGCCGGCCCGACUCCCGGUGAACCUACCCGCCCUUUGUCUUACCGUUACUCGGCCUGCUGUUUGCGAUAAAAGGUCAAAAGAUCGUGCGAGUGCAUUUUGGGUCCAAACACGAACCGUUACGAGAAUGGUGGUUUCUGAUUGCUGAUCCUGGGUCUGGCUUCUCAAUUCCAGAUUCCCUUGUUUUAUCAUGUCACCACCACAACAGCUUUUAAAGUUAUACUCUUAUUAUAGUGGUACCUUGUGUGCAACCGGUACGGUUAGAAUACGAUUGUGUGAUCAACGGGUAUUUGAAUAUCUUUCAUGUAGCUUUUUUAGGGGCUUUCCUUAAUCUCCGGACAUGCUGGUAUUAUAAAGGGGACAGUUCGACCGGAGAACACCGCUGUUGGUUUUCGGGGGUGGUUCGUGCUUUUUGCUGGACGGCGAUGCAGAAGCUGUAGAUUAAGAUCUCCGGACUUUUGUCACAUUUGUCUCCGUUUUAUUAUUUUAUUAUCGCUGUUCUGAAGUAAAUAAGCUUUGCUGAACAGGUCGGCACGCGUUCAACACUGCACAGCGUUUCCUUUAAUGACUUCUGCAUGAAAGCCUCUCUGGAAAUAGUCACUCGGCGCCGAAGGCUGUUGAAUGUGGUUUCUCAACAUGUUUAGCGAGUGGUCAACUGUCUCUCACAUCAAUAAGCACAAAGUGUCCUUCAGUCAGAGGGAACUUCUCAAGGCAGCGAGGAAACGAUAGAAGAUAAAUACUUUCAUCUGUUCUCUGAAACGGUCUGUAACUUUCGUUCUUUACUUCAACAUUUGUUUCAGUACAUGAAAGAAUAAAAUGUGUCAUUUUAUGCGUUAUAACAGAAAAAUGAUCGCAAUCGUCGGGAUCUUUGCGGCUCUGGCAACAACAUCUCUGGCAAAAGGCUCCAUUGAAUGCAGUUUUUCUGAACCAGGAGCUCGGUGCUUCGGAGUCACGGGACAGCGGCUCAUUUUUCAUCUGGGAAACACAUCAAAUACAGAUAUUAGGCUGAUUAAGGACAACAUUCGUAUUUUAAAAAUAUUUAAACAUCAGAUUGUGAAUUCAAAUAAAGAAUACGUGACUGAA
Molecule: non-coding RNA, 2583 nt
Organism: Gasterosteus aculeatus aculeatus (three-spined stickleback)
Lineage: Eukaryota; Metazoa; Chordata; Actinopteri; Perciformes; Gasterosteidae
Source: RefSeq, a predicted model, not a curated record